GGAGCCUAUCCUUCCUCUGUCCCCAAAGAAUCUGUUAGUCAUAACCUCCAUCCCUGAUCAAAUACCAUCUCUAAAAGAUAGGGAGGGGGUGGGGAGGAAGUGGAUAUUUAAAAACUAAGAACGUUUUAUGUUCUUUACCUGACAAGAUGGACUAUUCACUUGAUGUGUCUAUUUAAGUUGUUUUGUUCAAAUGCCCCCCGCCUCUAUUCUGUGGUUGGAGAUUCAGAAAAGAGAAAAUAAUUUUAGAGAAACAAAGAUAGCAUGCUGUCUCUGCACAUCUGUGAGUGGGGUGACAAAAACCUGCAACCUUCCUCACAUAGGAGCAUUGCCAGCCCUUUCCAUCCUCCUCCCCACUGCUAAAUUGGGUUCUGCUUGGGCUGCUCCGUUCCUCCCACCCACCCACAUGCAACUGUGCAGAAGAGCUUAGAGGGUCCAGACCAGCUCUUUGGGCUUUUGGGUGCAAAAUGAAGAGAAUGGGAAGGAGACUAGAGAUGGAUCUGCCACAUGGGUGGAUUCUAAGGAGAAACAAAGAAAUAACAAGUUUGUCUUGAGUGAGCCUCUAGAAUGAAAUGUGUCCAGAGGUGUUGGGGUGGGAGAGGAAGACAGGCAUAUAGAACUGACAGAUGGUGUUAUUCUGGCGAGAGACAGCAAGAGGCCAGUUACUGCUGCACUUUAGAGGGGAUAUAAGAUGGAUGUGGAUAGGAGUUGCUGUGGACUCCAUUCUGUAUCUUUGCUAUCCCCUGCAAUUUAAGGGAGUUCUUAUCCAGACUGUUUCUUUGAACCCCAUUCAGUCACCAGUGCACAGAGAUCUCAGCCUUGACAGUUGACAAGCACAGUGCCUCGAUGCUAUAUAAGAGAUGACUAAUGUAAAGGAAAGAUUCUCAACUGGGGUGGUGGUUUUUAUCUCCUAGAGGACAUUUGAGGCAUGGUCUGAUGUAUCCCAGGAAGGUUUCUAACUCAUUAUAUAGCUGAUGAUGACCUUGAAUUUUGCUUUGUUCCUCCUGCCUCUGCUUCUGAGUGCUGAGAUUAUAGGUACAGCCACUGCUCCUAGAUUUAUGCAGCUCUGGGCAUCCAGGGUCUUGUGCAUGCCGGGCAAGCACUGUGACACUGAUCUACCUUCUCAGCUCCUGAAGACAUUUUCAAUUGUCCAAUGGAGACACGCUGGCAGCACUUGAACAGAGGCUGAAGGUACUGCCAAGCGUCUUCCACUGUACAGACGGCCCUCCACAGCAAAGCAUCCCAGGGUAGCCUUGUCUGGACUGGAACUUGACAUAUAGACCAAGCUCGAAGAAACUGGCCUGUAG
Molecule: long non-coding RNA, 1304 nt
Filed under: Cricetulus griseus (Chinese hamster)
Lineage: Eukaryota; Metazoa; Chordata; Mammalia; Rodentia; Cricetidae
Description: lncRNA (ENSCGRG00015037020.1)
Source: RNAcentral